CCUACGGGUGGCAGCAGUGGGGAAUCUUGGACAAUGGGCGAAAGCCUGAUCCAGCGACGCCGCGUGGGGGAUGAAGGCCCUCGGGUUGUAAACCCCUUUCAGCGGGGACGAAGCGAAAGUGACGGUACCCGCAGAAGAAGCCCCGGCUAACUACGUGCCAGCAGCCGCGGUAAGACGUAGGGGGCGAGCGUUGUCCGGAUUUAUUGGGCGUAAAGCGCGCGCAGGCGGCCCGAUAAGUCGGAUGUGAAAACCCGGGGCUCAACCCCGGGCCGUCAUUCGAUACUGUCGGGCUCGAGGCAGGUAGGGGAGAUUGGAAUUCCCGGUGUAGCGGUGAAAUGCGCAGAUAUCGGGAGGAACACCGGUGGCGAAGGCGGAUCUCUGGGCCUGUCCUGACGCUCAGGCGCGAAAGCUGGGGGAGCGAACUGGAUUAGAUACCCUUG
This 440-nucleotide ribosomal RNA is filed under the name uncultured bacterium. Its description in RNAcentral is "bacterial SSU rRNA". It matches the Rfam family "Bacterial small subunit ribosomal RNA", at positions 338 to 790 of the family's 1533-position model. The record is from RNAcentral.